RNAcentral lists this ribosomal RNA (414 nucleotides) under uncultured microorganism. Its description in RNAcentral is "bacterial SSU rRNA". It matches the Rfam family "Archaeal small subunit ribosomal RNA", at positions 459 to 872 of the family's 1478-position model. The record is from RNAcentral.
CAGCAGCCGCGGUAAUACCGGCGGCCCGAGUGGCGGUCACUCUUAUUGGGCUUAAAGCGUCCGUAGCCGGGUUGGGAAGUCCUCCGGGAAAUCUGGCCGCUUAACGGUCAGAAUGCCGGAGGAUACUCCCAGCCUAGGGAGCGGGAGAGGCCGAGGGGAUUCCCGGGGUAGGGGUGAAAUCCUAUAAUCCCGGGAGGACCACCUGUGGCGAAGGCGCUCGGCUGGAACGCGUCCGACGGUGAGGGACGAAGGCCAGGGGAGCAAACCGGAUUAGAUACCCGGGUAGUCCUGGCUGUAAACGAUGCGGACUUUGUGUCGGACAAGCUAUGAGCUUGUCCGGUGCCGGAGGGAAACCGUUAAGUCCGCCGCCUGGGGAGUACGGCCGCAAGGCUGAAACUUAAAGGAAUUGGCGGG